This 460-nucleotide ribosomal RNA is filed under the name uncultured bacterium. RNAcentral's name for it is "partial 16S ribosomal RNA". It matches the Rfam family "Bacterial small subunit ribosomal RNA", at positions 338 to 795 of the family's 1533-position model. The record is from RNAcentral.
CCUACGGGAGGCAGCAGUGAGGAAUAUUGGUCAAUGGACGAGAGUCUGAACCAGCCAAGUAGCGUGAAGGAUGACUGCCCUAUGGGUUGUAAACUUCUUUUAUAAAGGAAUAAAACGAGGCACGUGUGCCUUUUUGCAUGUACUUUAUGAAUAAGGAUCGGCUAACUCCGUGCCAGCAGCCGCGGUAAUACGGAGGAUCCGAGCGUUAUCCGGAUUUAUUGGGUUUAAAGGGAGCGUAGAUGGGUUGUUAAGUCAGUUGUGAAAGUUUGCGGCUCAACCGUAAAAUUGCAAUUGAUACUGGCAGUCUUGAGUACAGUUGAGGUAGGCGGAAUUCGUGGUGUAGCGGUGAAAUGCUUAGAUAUCACGAAGAACACCGGUUGCGAAGGCAGCUUACUAAACUAUGACUGACAUUGAGGCGCGAAAGUGUGGGUAGCAAACAGGAUUAGAUACCCGAGUAGUC